UGGGCUUUGAUUGUAGGCUUUUAAUGUAUAGCGUGAACGGCGACUAUGAAAUCUAGGUUUGAUCUUCAUCAUCUCAGCUUCUUCAAUCCCAGACGAGCCAGCAAUGGAGUUUCAGGACGUUGUGGGAGACGAAUAUUUGGGAGGAAUCUUUUGCUCGAGCUUUCUUCGUGUCGGUUCGGCUAACUUUUUCCUCCGAAACGUUACGAGAUGCAAUGAUUCGUCGCCGUUAACAACCAUCUUUACUUCUUCGACCCACAAUCAUGAUGAUUAAUUAUUUAAUGCUUCUUAUCUCUCUUCCAGAUUGUUGAUCUCAACCUAUAAAAAGGCCAGCCUUCAACCCUUUAGCAUCAUCCUCACAAUUCUUAAUAUUUAUAGAAUUUUAUUUUCCAGUAUAAUGGCUAAUCCGUCAAUGGUUCUCUCUGAUUUGCAGGCUUGCCGCUGUUCUUCAACCGUCAAGGUCUCUGAUUUUGGGAAACGAGCGGAGCUGACAGUGUGGACAUGCUCCUGCUAAGUUGGUUGUUCAGUCAGGGAGAGUUAACAGCAACUGUUUAUGAAAUUAAAAUGCCAAAAAAGGAUGAAAAAAGUGUAGAACCGGCAGUAUGUGAGUCAUUCUUUUCAUAGCAACAUCGCACUCUUGCCAAAGUCAUCUUCUCUCUUGACAAGCAUUGUCGGCAAUUGAGUGGCUAGGAGAUAGAAGAAGGUAAGGGCUACUUGAGUCCGUGUUCAGGGGAAACUCACCCGCUUAUAUUCAGGUCUCCAGUGAAGGGUAUGGAGGGCAUCUUGACCAACCUACUCAUGUGAGAACACGGACCUAGAUCAGAGGGUUCUUCUAACUCUUAACGCCUCAGCUUCCAAAUCUUUUUCGGUCUCACUCGCUCUUCUUCUUCUCCUACGAUUAGCUGUGUUUCCGUUUCAACUUCCCUCUUGAGAUUCUCUCCAUAUGUAUUCUGAUUGAGUUUUCCAAUCUUCACAGCAUUUGUUUUAACUGCGUAUGUGAAAUUCGUGCAGUUUUAAAGUCAAUGAAAAGAUCAUCCUGAUGCUCUGUUA
This is a long non-coding RNA of Brassica napus (rape), 1047 nucleotides long. RefSeq lists it as uncharacterized. NCBI's taxonomy places the organism in Eukaryota, Viridiplantae, Streptophyta, Magnoliopsida, Brassicales, Brassicaceae. The transcript is spliced from 4 exons. The record is from RefSeq and is a predicted model, not a curated record.